This is a long non-coding RNA of Poecilia latipinna (sailfin molly), 1091 nucleotides long. RefSeq lists it as uncharacterized. Lineage: Eukaryota; Metazoa; Chordata; Actinopteri; Cyprinodontiformes; Poeciliidae. The transcript has 3 exons. The record is from RefSeq and is a predicted model, not a curated record.
AGCGUGUUGCGGUGAACGUGUGAAUCGUCAAGGUGUUGCAGUGAACGUGUGAAUCGUUGUGAACGUGUGAAUCGUUGUCAGCGUGUUGCGGUGAACGUGUGAAUCGUUGUCAGCGUGUUGCGGUGAACGUGUGAAUCGUUGUCAAUGUGUUGCGGUGAACGUGUGACUCAUCAGCAUUUUGUGCGUGUUGCGGUGAACGUGUGAAUCGUUGUCAGCGUUUUGCAGUUAACGUGUGAAUCGUUGUGAACGUGUGAAUCGUUGUCAGCGUGUUGCGGUGAACGUGUGAAUAGUUGUGAACGUGUGAAUCGUCAGCGUGUUGCGGUGAACGUGUGAAUCGUCAAUGUAUUGCGGUGAACGUGUGAAUCGUCAACGUAUUGCGGUGAACGUGUGAAUCGUUGUGAACGUGUGAAUCGUUGUCAGCGUGUUGCGGUGAACGUGUGAAUUGUUGUGAACGUGUGAAUCGUUGUCAGCGUGUUGCGGUGAACGUGUGAAUCGUUGUCAAUGUGUUGCGGUGAACGUGUGAAUCAUAGGCAUUGUCGUGUUGCGGUGAACGUGUGAAUCGUCAGCGUGUUGCGGUGAACGUGUGAAUCGUCAACGUGUUGCGGUGAACGUGUGAAUCGUCAACGUGUUGCGGUGAACGUGUGAAUCGUGAACGUGUUGCGGUGAACGUGUGAAUCGCGAACGUGUUGCGGUGAACGUGUGAAUCAUGAACGUGUGAAUCAUCAGCGUGUUGCGGUGAACGUGUGAAUCAUUAGCGUUUUGCGGUGAACGAGUGAAUCAUUAUCAACGUUUUGCGGUGAACGUGUGAAUCGUCAACGUGUUGUGGUGAACGUGUGAAUCGUUAGCGUUUUGCGGUGAAAGUGUGAAUCGUCAGCGUUUUGCGGUGAACGUGUGAAUCGUUGUGAACGUGUGAAUCGUUGUCAGCGUGUUGCUGUUAACGUGUGAAUUGUUGUGAACGUGUGAAUCGUUGUCAGCAUGUUGCGGUGAACGUGUGAAUCAUGAACGUGUUGCGGUGAACGUGUGAAUCGUUGUCAACGUGUUGCGGUGAACGUGUGAAUCGUUGUCAAUGUGUUGCGGUGAACAUGUGAAUC